RNAcentral lists this ribosomal RNA (197 nucleotides) under uncultured bacterium. RNAcentral's name for it is "partial 16S ribosomal RNA". It matches the Rfam family "Bacterial small subunit ribosomal RNA", at positions 328 to 539 of the family's 1533-position model. The record is from RNAcentral.
ACGCUCGACACCUACGGAGGCAGCAGUGGGGAAUAUUGCACAAUGGGGGAAACCCUGAUGCAGCGACGCCGCGUGAAGGAAGAAGUAUUUCGGUAUGUAAACUUCUAUCAGCAGGGAAGAAAAUGACGGUACCUGACUAAGAAGCCCCGGCUAACUACGUGCCAACAGCCGCGGUAAUCUGAGCGGGCUGGCAAGGC